RNAcentral lists this ribosomal RNA (402 nucleotides) under uncultured bacterium. RNAcentral's name for it is "partial 16S ribosomal RNA". It matches the Rfam family "Archaeal small subunit ribosomal RNA", at positions 473 to 873 of the family's 1478-position model. The record is from RNAcentral.
ACACCGGCAGCCCAAGUGGUGGCCAUUUUUAUUGGGCCUAAAGCGUUCGUAGCCGGCCUGAUAAGUCUCUGGUGAAAUCCCACAGCUUAACUGUGGGAAUUGCUGGAGAUACUAUCAUGACUCGAGGUCGGGAGAGGCUGGAGGUACUCCCAGGGUAGGGGUGAAAUCCUGUAAUCCUGGGAGGACCACCUGUGGCGAAGGCGUCCAGCUGGAACGAACCUGACGGUGAGGGACGAAAGCCGGGGGCGCGAACCGGAUUAGAUACCCGGGUAGUCCUGGCCGUAAACGAUGUGGACUUGGUGUUGGGAUGGCUUCGAGCUGCCCCAGUGCCGAAGGGAAGCUGUUAAGUCCACCGCCUGGGAAGUACGGCCGCAAGGCUGAAACUUAAAUGAAUUGGCGGGG